Molecule: small nucleolar RNA, 124 nt
Filed under: Camelus dromedarius (Arabian camel)
Lineage: Eukaryota; Metazoa; Chordata; Mammalia; Artiodactyla; Camelidae
Description: Small nucleolar RNA SNORA31 (ENSCDRG00005007819.1)
Rfam family: Small nucleolar RNA SNORA31
About the family: ACA31 (SNORA31) belongs to the H/ACA class of snoRNAs which are thought to guide the sites of modification of uridines to pseudouridines. ACA31 is predicted to guide the pseudouridylation of U3713 in 28S rRNA and U218 in 18S rRNA.
Source: Rfam by way of RNAcentral
CUGCAUCUACUGACAGACUUGAGCAGUCUGCUGUUCUCUUGGUUGUUUGCACUAGAUGAGAAAGUAAAAUCCUUGCGCUUUCUGUCUGCUGGUGGGCAGCCCAGGUUGAAUAGUGGCUACAUCC